AAAUAAAUAGAUAAAGAGUUGCUGUGGUCACAAUAGAAACCCCAACUAAGACAGAAAUUGGUACCAGUGUAGUGGGUAUUGCUGUGACAGACCUCAUCAUGUUUUUAGGAGGAUUGUGGAGGGACUUUGGAACUUUGACCUAGAAAAGCCAGUGAUAUUGAGAGCUCAGUGGGCUGCUCUGUAGGAGCUUGGAAGAUAAGGAUGCUGAGAGCAGUGCAGAAGAUGGAGGCCUGACUUGUGAAUUUUGGAGGGAAGAUUAAAGACUCUAUCAGGGCCACUUGUUAUUUUGAUGUCAGAUCCUGAGUUCUGGUCAGCUGGGGCUGAAGAAUCAGCUGUGAUUAACAAGGUACCAGAACUACUCAAGUGAAACCUUCAUGUUUAUGGAACCAUUGAUGCUGGCCGGCUGGAGCUAAGAAAUCAGCAGUGAUUAAGAAGAGACCAGCAUCACUGAGGUGAAAUCUUCUGGAAGGUGUUUCCUGACAGCACAGAGAAGCUGUGUUCCAGAGGCAGCCAAGGUUGCUCCUCAGGCUGGAAGCUGGUCUUGGUGAUGUGCAAGAGUCACCCAGGUGGUUCUGGUUUUGAGGGCAUGAAGGGGUCCUGGAGAGCAGCUGAGGCUGGGCACUGUGAGAGGCCAUUGGUGAAGGUGUGGUCUCGGUGGCAGUUGAAGGCCCAGGCCUGAAGGGACCAUGCAGAGAAAUUGAGACUUGGCGCCAUGAGGAGAGCCUAUGAGAGGCUACUGGUGAAAGUCUGGUUGCAGGAGAAGACACCAACAUUUUAGAGAUUCCAGGACCAUGGGAUGAGGCCAAGGACAGCAGCAGCAGUGGGGUGGAGCCAGCUGGAGCCUAGAAGUGACUGUGCCCUGAGUCUUCCCUCUUGAAGUAAGAAGAUGUUUUACUGAAGUCCACAGUUGAGAGACUCGAAUUUUUAAAGACUUUGGAUUUUUAACGGGACUGUUAUUUAAAAGGGUCUUAAAUUUUAAUGUGUUGACUUUGUAAAGAUUGUGGCACUUUUAAAGUGAUUUAAGAUCUUGGGGGAUGAAUAAGAAAGGAAGUGAUGUGGCUUAA
Molecule: long non-coding RNA, 1064 nt
Organism: Mesocricetus auratus (golden hamster)
Lineage: Eukaryota; Metazoa; Chordata; Mammalia; Rodentia; Cricetidae
Exons: 2
Source: RefSeq, a predicted model, not a curated record